Erpetoichthys calabaricus (reedfish) is the source of this 430-nucleotide long non-coding RNA. RefSeq lists it as uncharacterized. Lineage: Eukaryota; Metazoa; Chordata; Cladistia; Polypteriformes; Polypteridae. The record is from RefSeq and is a predicted model, not a curated record. The transcript is spliced from 2 exons.
AGCAGAUGUCCUCUGUCGUUCUGUGACCAAUAUUGAGCUAAUUGGUGAAAAAGAUGGAAAGGUCCCGAGGCCAGUCUGUACCCUCAUACCUGGGAUGGUCAAUUUUCACAUUGAUAUGCUGUUGUCUCCCAGUUGGAAUAGCUGCUCUAAUUUGCUCUUGCAGGGUAAACGACGCCUCGAGCGCCGGGGAUAGCGUCCGAGCGACAGAAGCAUCCAGAAAGGCGAAGAUUCUCAAUAUUGUCGGACUCGUGAUUGGCAUUAUUGUGAUAAUCAUAGUUGUUACGUUUUCUUUACUUAAGGGGAAACAGCACUAAUGGACUGACUGAACAUGCAUCAACGCCGCUUUUGUAUUUUGUAGCACAGACCUCUGCUUGUCUUUUGGGAACUCAGUUUUUACUGUUUUUUAAAUAAAAAGCGGUGUUUUUGUUAA